Homo sapiens (human) is the source of this 887-nucleotide long non-coding RNA. RefSeq lists it as uncharacterized. The transcript has 2 exons. The record is from RefSeq and is a predicted model, not a curated record. NCBI's taxonomy places the organism in Eukaryota, Metazoa, Chordata, Mammalia, Primates, Hominidae.
ACUUCUGCUCCCUGCACCCUGCCACAGCCACAACCAGCGCCUGGAACGCAGCUGCUCCUUAUUUGUUGAGUGGAUGAAUGAAUGAAUGAACGAAUGGCGGUGGAAGUCAGAACACAAUUUGGUGUGAAUAAGGAGUUCCGGUUGAGAAUAUCUGAAGAUGCCCCUCCUACCUUGCUCUGUGGCCCUGCGCAAAAGCAAAACCUCCCUGCCAGGCCAUCUGCUCCGAGCUGGCGUCCGGGAAAUCAGGGGCCCCUCCUAUCUUGCGCUGGUGUCCAGGUACACCCUCACUCCUCCACUACAGGGUCCUUCUGUUGGAGCAGGAGGGAACCGCAGCCUGGAAGGGUGGGUGUGAACCAUGAACCCAGAUGACCAAGCCAGUGGAGGUGGCACAGGCAGUCCCCAAGGAAGGGGACACGUGUGUCCCGAGGUCAGAACUGAGAAGCUCUUCAACUGCCACUGCAUGUUUCUAACUUCUAGAAACCAUCAGGAUGGAUCUAAUUUCUCAUGUGGAAACUGGGGCUCUGAGCAGCACUUUCCUUCUCACUCAGAGGAGAGAUAACCCAGCACCCUGCAGGAGCCCAGCAACCCCCAUGGCCUGUGUCCUCUGCUUCUCCUGCUUUCGGCCUGGUUGAAUGCAUCACUGAGGAUUUUCUAUUGGUUCCUGGAAUUUAGUGUGAUUGUGUCUACCAUUUGUGGUAGACUGUUGCUUGGACAGUUAUCCUGUGGCAUGUCAGAAGAGUCCUGGCGUCCAAAGAUGUGACUAGGAGCAGAAUAAUGUUUUCCAAUGCAUGGACUAAAACCCUUACGAUUUGAAAGGCAAUGGAGUUGUGAUAUUGUGACAUGUGUGUUUCUUCAUUAUGCAUUAAAUACAACGAGAUCCAGCAGAA